AAGCUCUGAGCUCCACACAGUUUAUACCCUGAUUGGUCAGAAACUGUGUGGAGCUGAGAGUUUUCU
Molecule: microRNA precursor, 66 nt
Organism: Oreochromis aureus
Lineage: Eukaryota; Metazoa; Chordata; Actinopteri; Cichliformes; Cichlidae
Source: Ensembl